GACGAACGCUGGCGGCGUGCCUAAUACAUGCAAGUAGAACGCUGAAGCUUGGUGCUUGCACCGAGCGGAUGAGUUGCGAACGGGUGAGUAACGCGUAGGUAACCUGCCUGGUAGCGGGGGAUAACUAUUGGAAACGAUAGCUAAUACCGCAUAAGAGUAGAUGUUGCAUGACAUUUGCUUAAAAGGUGCAAUUGCAUCACUACCAGAUGGACCUGCGUUGUAUUAGCUAGUUGGUGAGGUAACGGCUCACCAAGGCAACGAUACAUAGCCGACCUGAGAGGGUGAUCGGCCCCACUGGGACUGGGACACGGCCCAGACUCCUACGGGAGGCAGCCGUAGGGAAUCUUCGGCAAUGGACGGAAGUCUGACCGAGCAACGCCGCGUGAGUGAAGAAGGUUUUCGGAUCGUAAAGCUCUGUUGUAAGAGAAGAACGAGUGUGAGAGUGGAAAGUUCACACUGUGACGGUAUCUUACCAGAAAGGGACGGCUAACUACGUG
RNAcentral lists this ribosomal RNA (497 nucleotides) under uncultured bacterium. RNAcentral's name for it is "partial 16S ribosomal RNA". It matches the Rfam family "Bacterial small subunit ribosomal RNA", at positions 28 to 507 of the family's 1533-position model. The record is from RNAcentral.